RNAcentral lists this ribosomal RNA (497 nucleotides) under uncultured bacterium. Its description in RNAcentral is "partial 16S ribosomal RNA". It matches the Rfam family "Bacterial small subunit ribosomal RNA", at positions 28 to 507 of the family's 1533-position model. The record is from RNAcentral.
GAUGAACGCUGGCGGCGUGCCUAAUACAUGCAAGUCGAGCGAACAGACGAGGAGCUUGCUCCUCUGACGUUAGCGGCGGACGGGUGAGUAACACGUGGAUAACCUACCUAUAAGACUGGGAGAACUUCGGGAAACCGGAGCUAAUACCGGAUAAUAUAUUGAACCGCAUGGUUCAAUAGUGAAAGACGGUUUUGCUGUCACUUAUAGAUGGAUCCGCGCCGCAUUAGCUAGUUGGUAAGGUAACGGCUUACCAAGGCGACGAUGCGUAGCCGACCUGAGAGGGUGAUCGGCCACACUGGAACUGAGACACGGUCCAGACUCCUACGGGAGGCAGCAGUAGGGAAUCUUCCGCAAUGGGCGAAAGCCUGACGGAGCAACGCCGCGUGAGUGAUGAAGGUCUUCGGAUCGUAAAACUCUGUUAUUAGGGAAGAACAAAUGUGUAAGUAACUAUGCACGUCUUGACGGUACCUAAUCAGAAAGCCACGGCCAACUACGUG